GCUGAUCACUGACAAUCUGCAGCUGCGGCGAAGCGUGGGCGUGAAGCGUUCGGCGUCUGCGGGGGCGUGUCCUGGCAUGGUACCAGACAGAGUGUUGGAGGAUCUUGCUGCGGGAGAACUGAGGGUUCGAGACCGCGGCGUGACACAAACACACAUACUGUACAGCAGAUUUUUAGAGCUAAAUGUGUAUAUAUCAUUUACACACACAUACACAUUGACCACCCCGGACACAUUUUUUUUUCUCAAUGUGGCCCCCGAGUCAAACUAUUUGCCCAGCUCAGAAAUGAAAUGAAAUAGAUUCUAACGUCACUCGUGCUGAUGUCGGAUUGGCAAAAGAGAGUCAUCUGACAGUGCACGCUGGAAGAAGUCUUCCGAAAGAGCCAAAUUAAUACGUAUUUGCAAGCAGUAAUCAAAAGAAUAAAAAUGAUUAUCAUGCAUAUCAAUUAAUAAAACUCAACGUGACAGAGUAAAAUGAAAGUUUUUUAAGCUAAAAAGCGCAAAUGACGUUUUUGUCCCAAACUUCCGUAGUUUGGAGAAAUGUGUAACGGCGUACGAUUGCUCUUGAGCCACAGGCUUGAAAAUAAACUCUAGCAGGACUGACCUUAUGGAUUUAUCAGAUCCAAAGCCAUGUCAAGUUGUUCUCCGGAUAAGACAAUUUUACCCUCAAUCGCCGUGAGAUGACAUCAUUGAAGCUUCACGUCCGUCUUUGGAUUACGGUUAAGUGCAUUAAUAACAUCAAAUGUAGAUUGUUACUCAAACUGCUUUAGUAAGAUGGAAUAGAAGCUCAGCAGAAACAAAGACGGCAGAGAGGAAAUCUAAGUCAUUUUUAUCGGAGAUUUUCACACUUACACAUUGGCCCCGCCAUACUCAUGUUUUCUCUCAAUGUGGCCCCCAGGUCAAAAUAUUUGCCCAGCUGUGCAGUAGAUCCUGUUUCUUUCAACUUUUUGGCUGAUCCAUGUCGACAUAAUAGAUGGAAUGUGAAUGUUUACCUGUGGCAUCAGGAGAACGGGUCAUUAUUAAUAAAUGUUCAAUAUUUCCUUUUAUGUUGUGACAAAGAUGACACGCUUUCGUAAAUGCACACAUUUUUAGUACAGUGGCUAACAAUCAUCAAUCAAUCAAUCAAUGAUUAUUUAUAUAGCCCUAAAUCACUAGUGUCUCAAAGGGCUGCACAAACCACAACACAAACCACUACGACAUCCUCGGUAGGCCCACAUAAGGGCAAGGAAAACUCACACCCAGUAGGACGUCAGUGACAAUGAUGACUAUGAGAACCUUGGAGAGGACCACAACCAUCUAGGGGACCGAAAGCAAUGGAUAUCGAGCGGGUCUAACAUGAUACUGUGAAAGUUCAAUCCAUAGUGGAUCCAACACAGCCGCGAGAGUCCAGUCCAAAGCAGAUCCAACGCAGCAGCGAGAGUCCCGUCCACAGUGGAGCCAGCAGGAAACCACACCAAGCGGAGUCGGAUCAGCAGCGCAGAGAUGUCCCCAGCCAAUACACAGGCGAGUGGUCCAUCCUGGGUCCCGACUCUGGACGAGUCCAGAGUCUGGACAGAAAGUACUUCAUACAUGGCCAUCGGACCGGGCCCCCUCCACAAGGGAGAGUGGGACAUAGGAGAAAAAGAAAAUAAACACCAGAUCAACUGGUCUAAAAAGGGAGUCUAUUUAAAGGCUAGAGUAUACAAAUGAGUUUUAAGGUGAGACUUAAAUGCUUCUACUGAGGUGGCAUCUCAAACUGUUACCGGGAGGGCAUUCCAGAGUACUGGAGCCCGAAUGGAAAACGCUCUAUAGCCCGCAGACUUUUUUGGGGCUUUGGGAAUCACUAAUAAGCCGGAGUCCUUUGAACGCAGAUUUCUUGCCGGGACAUAUGGUACAAUAGAAUCAAUAAAAAAAUACGGGCUGUUAAAUGAUUAAAAUAUUUAAUUGCAAUUAAUCGCAUUGUUCAUCCAUCCAUCCAUUUUCAACCGCUUAUUCCCGUUGGGUUCGAGGGGGGCGCUGGUGCCUAGCUCAGCUACAAUCAGGCGGAAGGCAGCAUACACCCUGGACAAGUCACCACCUCAUCACAGGGCAAAAACAGAUAGACAGACAACAUUCACACUCACAUUCACACACUAGGGCCAAUUUAGUGUUGCCAAUCAACCUAUCCCCAGGUGCAUGUCUUUGGAGGUGGGAAAAAGCCGGAGUACCCGGAGGGAACCCACGCAGUCACGGGGAGAACAUGCAAAUUCCACACAGAAAGAUCCCGAGCCCGGGAUUGAACCCAGGACUACCCAGGAUCUUCUUAUUGUGAGGCAGACGCACUAACCCCUCUCCUACCGUGUUGCCUCGCAUUGUUCAUAGUUACCUCAAAAUUAAUUGUGAGUCAUCGCAGAAAAAUGUAAUGUUUUUGUCGUUAAUAAGUGUACCCGAGACGGAUCAUUUUAUGUUUUUAAUAUCAUGACUGGACAAUUAAUUUUCUUUAUAAAAUGUUUUUUGAAACAGCUCAACACAAAAAUGAUAUAAACAAGCUUUUAAAGAAAUUUAAACAUUACCUGUAAUGCAUUGGUAUCUUUUCAGAUUUUCUAUUUUGUAGGAAUGCAGAAUUUGUGUUUCUGCUUUAGGAGCACCCACAUUUUGAGGAGAGGAGCUACACUCCCAUGUUUAGAUAGCAGUUUCACGCAUUAAUACAGUGCUUCUCAAUUAUUUUCUGUUACACCCACCCUUUAAAGAAGACUAUAAAUAUAUAUGAAUAAUAUCAUUUUUCUAUAAAAUUGUUACAACUAUACCCCUGCAUAACAUUGUAAGCUUAAUAACAUGAAAAAUAAGCAACACACCGGUAUUUCCUCGUCUCCCAUCGUGGUUACUAUGAAGCCAAGUGCAACAUAUGCUUUGUCAUAUUCUGGUACGGUGAGAAAAGCAUGACUUUAGACUUCCUCUCUACCGUCUUUGAUUUUUGAUUUUUUGAUUUUUAUUAAUGAUCUCCAUUAGCUGGUUGCCACAACAACCCACUAGUCUUCCUGGGGUCCACAAAAAACCCAAAGCAUCUAAUUAUAAAUACACAAUACAAAAACAAAUACAAAUCAUCAACAAGCAAACAAUUUACAGUCUCAGAAUGUUAGUUACCAUAUAAAUAUAACUGCACAAUACAAAACCAAACAAAAUAAUCAUCAAGCAAACUAAUUUACGGACUCAGAUAAAAUAUUAGUUUCCUUUUAAAGGGAAACAUUAUCACAAUUUCUGAAGGGUUAAAACCAAUAAAAAUCAGUUCCCAGUGGCUUAUUUUAUUUUUUGAAGUUUUUCUCCAAAUUUUACCCAUCACGCAAUAUCCCGAAAAACGUCUUCAAAGUGCCUGAUUUAACCAUCGUUAUAUCCACCCGUCCAUUAUCCUGUGACGUCACUGCGUGACCACACGGAAACAAACAUGGUGGAUAGCACAGAAAGGUAUAGCGAUAUUAGCUCGGGUUCAGACUCGGAUUUCAGCGCCGUAAGCGAUUCAACAGAUUACGCAUGUAUUGAAACGGAUGGUUGGAGUGUAAAGGCAGUUACCGAAAACAAAAUUAAGGAAGAAACAGAAGCUUUUGAGCGAAUUUGGCGAUCGCCUUCUAAACAACGAUUGGUAUGUGUUUGUUAGGCAUUAAAUAUGGGUGGAGGGAAAGGCUGGAUGCAAAUAUAGCUACAAAUGAGGCAUAAUGAUGUAAUAUGUACAUACAGUUAGCCUAAAUAGCAUGUUAGCAUCGAUUAGCUUGCAGUCAUGCCAUGACCAAAUAUGUCUGAUUAGCACACUCCACAUAAGUCAAUAACAUCAACAAAACUCACCUUUGUGAUUUCGUUGACUUUAUCGUUGGAAAUGCAUCUGCUUUGAGUGUCGCAGGAUAUCCACACAUUCUUGCCAUAUCUGCCAUCUCUGUCGUAGCAUAGCUGUCGUCUGUACAGUGUGCAGAACAAACGAGGGACUUUCGCAUCUUUUGACCACUCAUGCAACUUGAAACCGUCUCUGUUCGUGUUGUUACACCCUCCGACAACACACCGACGAGGCAUGAUGUCUCCAAGGUACCGUAAAACAGUCGAAAAAACGGAAAAUAACAGAGCUGAUUUGACUUGGUGUGUGUAAUGUGUUUGAGAAAAUGGCGGGUUGCUUCACGAUGUGACGUCACGGGUGAAAGGUCAUUGCUCCGACAGCGAACAAUUGAAAGGCGUUUAAAUCGCCAAAUUCACCCUUUUAGAGCUCAGAAAUCGGUUAAAAAAACAUAUGGUCUUUUUUCUGCAACAUCAAGGUAUAUAUUGACACUUACAUAGGUCUGGUGAUAAUGUUCCCCUUUAAAGACCUGUUUGCUUUCAAUGCCGGUGAGAAUUUGAGGCAGAUUAUUCCAGAGCUUUAUACAGAGCUAUAAAUAAAAGAUUUUCGCAAUGCAUUCUUCCUCGGACGAGGGAGUACAAAAUGACCCUCACUAGACUUUGUUUCUGUUGAGCUUGUAUUCCAUUUUACGAAAGCAGUUAGAGUAAUAAUCUACAUUUUAUGUUUUCAAUGCAUUUAACCAUAAUCCAACUAUGGUCGUGAAAAUGCUUGUCUCUACAAGCAGCAUUCGAGUCAACAAUGUCAACUCACGGAUAUUGAAGGAAAUAUUGCCUUGUCUUGUCCGGAGAAUGACUUGCCAUGGCUUUGGAUCUGAGAAUUCCAUUUGAUCUCCUUUUCUUUGUCCAGUUCUGCUAGCUAUUUUCAAGCCUGUGGCUCAUCAGUAACCGGACGCUAUUACACAUUUCCCUAAACUACCGAACGGGCCGAGGGUCAAAAACGUUAAUCGUGCGUUAAAAUAAUUAUCUACGUUAACGCAUUAACUUUGACAGUGUUGUGGCACAUGCACAGUCUGCGUCUCCCUCUGUGACAGCGCACUCAAGACACGCUCCCGCGCUCAUCAAGUGGCCCACGCCCACUCCCCGCCGCAGCCGUUGGCAGUCCACGCCUGACACACCUAUGACUGAAAACGUGGAGCUGUAUAAAGGGACCAGUGGACCAAGGAUCCUCGCGGGAACUUAGUUCUUAUUUGACGUACAUACCCUCCGUCGCCUGGAAAGAGAGCUGUGCGUCUCUCUUUUCCCCGCAUUUCCCUCUGGUCUUUGACUGCCUCCCUCAAUCCUCAACCCCCACUUUGGACUCGGACCUCUUAACGCCCCUCUCAGCCCCACGGACCACCGCUUGUAUCCCGAAUCACCUGCCUGUCCCCCUGGACGUUCCUUCGCUCUCGUCAACACUUUGGUAACACACACUUCAGUUAAUUUAUACACUUAGUCUUACACCAUAAACUCUUGAGUUUUUGUCACACUUCAUUUCCUUGGUUAAGUCGUUAGUAUUAUUUAGUAUAUUCAUUAUUUAUAGAUUUACCAUUUAAAUAAUAAAUUAUUGAACAUUACUUCCACCUGGUGUCCGUUUGCCGUCACCUCCAUUAGUUAAACACAAGAGACAGCCCCUAAAAGUCUAAAUAUAUAUUUAGUGUUUUGUUUCUGUGGUCAAAUUUAGCUUAAAAAACACAACUUUUACUCCGUUAUAUUGAGUUAUUUUUCCAAUCGUUACAUUUAUUUACAUUAGAAUUAUUUUAAUCUAUUGAUUACUGCUUGCAAAGGCGUAUUAUUUUGGCUCUUUCGGAUAACUUCUCCCAGCGUGCACGGUCACAUGACUCUCCUUCACCAAUCCAACGUCAGCACGAGUGACAUUUGAAUCUAUUUCCUUUCUGACUUCAUUCUAAAUCCUUUGUACUUUAUGUAGAAUUGUAAUUAAAAAUAAAAUUUUGUAACUUUCAA
Molecule: long non-coding RNA, 5772 nt
Organism: Nerophis ophidion (straightnose pipefish)
Lineage: Eukaryota; Metazoa; Chordata; Actinopteri; Syngnathiformes; Syngnathidae
Exons: 2
Source: RefSeq, a predicted model, not a curated record